AAGUCGUAACAAGGUUUCCGUAGGUGAACCUGCGGAAGGAUCAUUAUCGAGUGAAGGGUCCUAACCGGCCCGACCUCCAACCCUUUGUCGUUAAACAAACCUUUGUUGCUUUGGCGGGACCGUCGGCCUCACGGCCGGCCGCUGGUCCUCUCGGCCCGGCGAGCGCCCGCCAGAGUCCAACCCAAAACUCUCUGCACCAACAUUACGUCUGAGUAAAUUGAUAAAUCAAUCAAAACUUUCAACAACGGAUCUCUUGGUUCUG
This 262-nucleotide unclassified non-coding RNA is filed under the name Dothideomycetes sp. RNAcentral describes it as "partial contains small subunit ribosomal RNA, internal transcribed spacer 1, and 5.8S ribosomal RNA". The stretch from base 1 to 46 matches the Rfam family "Eukaryotic small subunit ribosomal RNA", at positions 1786 to 1831 of the family's 1831-position model. The record is from RNAcentral. Lineage: Eukaryota; Fungi; Ascomycota; Dothideomycetes.